AUCAGUUGCCAUUAUUGCCACAAGUUCACGGAUCUUAUUCCCUAAACUGCGAGCAUUUGUAGACAUUACUCUAAGCUUAUAAUUUUUUAACACAUUUUCUACAGGCACCUUCUGUCCUUGUUUUGGGGGGCAAUUGGAUUGAUGUUUUAUCACCCUUUUGAGAGAGCAUAGCUACCAUGAGAAACAAAGCCAAAUCCUUGCUCCCGACACCAUUCACCAAACCACAAGUUAAAGUCCCUAAUACGCAUCCGCCUGUCAUUCUGAGUGUUAUGGACAGGCAGAACUUCAGAGAAUGACAGUGUGGACGCAACCUGCCGUAUAUCAUUGGCAAAAACACAAAAAACUUCCUUUACCUCUGAAACCUCAUUGCAAGCCAAGUCAUUUGUCCCUAGAUGGACAAGUACAUCCAAUUUCCCCUUUUCUGCUUUGCUCCCUUAACAAUAUUACAAAUAUAUCUCCUGUCUCUCACAAGACCACUAUUGUCCAUCUCCACACCUCCUAUGAUAGAAUCCCCCAACAACAACUGCUUUCUAUUAGGCCUCACCAUAUUCUCCAAAACACCACUACCCUUAGAGCCUGAGCCUGUCUCCAUAACACCACUAUACUUGGUGUCUGAGCCUGUCUCCAUAACACCAUUACACUCUGAAAGUGAUUGAAAAUGAAUUAUGUAGAGCAACAGACUGUGCAAUAUGCCUUUUAUCCACAACUUUAAGUCUACCAGAUCGUACAGUAAUCCAUCUGCCAUUCCUAGUUCGUCUCUGCAGCAGUUCCAGCCUGAGUUUCUUUACCAGAUAAUUUACAAAUCACAGACUUCAAAAAUACAAUCUCCCGCCGCAAUACAGAGAACUGUCUACAGAUUAGACAGCAUCCAAAUUUCCAAAAAGUGGAACGUGAAACAAAUGCACAACUAUUAAAAUGAACUAAGUCUGCCAUUUUAAUGAGGUGAACAAUUUAAAUCAAACAAAUAUUAACAUUUUUUUUUGUCCUCCUGUAUACCUCAGAUUACCUCUAGUUUAUCUCCAGAAUAUCUCCAAUCACACACUUAGAAGCAGCACUAUCCAGAAUAUCUCCAAUCACACACUUAGAAGCAGCACUCAGAUGUAGCAAACAAGUUAUAUUAGCCAAGCUAAUGACCACAACCCUUAUAUAACCCUAAAAGCACUAACCACUAGGAAUGUUUAACAACUGGGUAGGACUAUGCUUAUUUGCAAACAAUAGCUAAUUAAGCAACAUUCAAUAAAUAGCAAGCACCUAGCUAAUCAAAUCAAAUGCCUUACCAAUUACCAACAGAAAAGCAAACCUUGUGCAAUCAGUAACCUUUUCCUAUAGAUGAAUCUUACCUGUAACAGUAAAAAAGAAAACUCUCUACAGGUCUUCUGAGAAGUGGGCCGUAUGUGCAAUCAGCAUGAUGCUGUUCCCCUUGUUUGUUUGUCGGUUUCUAAACACCAUUUGGGGAAAGUGGGAGUCAGACGAGGAUCUUACACUAGAUAGCGUAGAGUGGUGAGGGCAGUGUCUUGUCGGUAUUCCAGGGUGGCAGUAGCUGAUUCGUACCUGCGUGGGCAGUCGGGGUACAUAAUGUAGUCUAAUGGGUAGGUAGACAUGUUAUGUUAGUGCAGUAGUAGGUGUAGGUGAUAUCAUUACAUGAUAGAGAGCCCCUACUGUCCUUUCGGUGGUGUUGGGAUGAUAGCCGCGCU
Molecule: non-coding RNA, 1694 nt
Organism: Pelobates cultripes (western spadefoot toad)
Lineage: Eukaryota; Metazoa; Chordata; Amphibia; Anura; Pelobatidae
Source: the annotation of a GenBank genome assembly